This 440-nucleotide ribosomal RNA is filed under the name uncultured Desulfobulbus sp. RNAcentral's name for it is "bacterial SSU rRNA". It matches the Rfam family "Bacterial small subunit ribosomal RNA", at positions 948 to 1382 of the family's 1533-position model. The record is from RNAcentral. Lineage: Bacteria; Pseudomonadati; Thermodesulfobacteriota; Desulfobulbia; Desulfobulbales; Desulfobulbaceae.
AAUUCGAUGCAACGCGAAGAACCUUACCUGGUCUUGACAUCCCGGAGACCCUUAGGAAACUAGGGGUGCUUCCAUCUGGAAGAAUCUGGAGACAGGUGCUGCAUGGCUGUCGUCAGCUCGUGUCGUGAGAUGUUGGGUUUAAGUCCCGCAACGAGCGCAACCCUUGCCUUUAGUUGCCAGCAGUUCGGCUGGGCACUCUAAAGGGACUGCCGGUGUUAAACCGGAGGAAGGUGGGGAUGACGUCAAGUCCUCAUGGCCUUUAUGACCAGGGCUACACACGUACUACAAUGGCCGAUACAAAGGGCAGCGACACUGCGAGGUGAAGCCAAUCCCGUAAAAUCGGUCUCAGUCCGGAUUGGAGUCUGCAACUCGACUCCAUGAAGUUGGAAUCGCUAGUAAUCGUGGAUCAGCAUGCCACGGUGAAUACGUUCCCGGGCCUU